GGUUAUUGUAGAGCCACCUCAUUAGUCUUCUUUAUAACUGGUACAAACGGGGGGGAAUAAAAGGGAAGUACCUGAAAGCGUUGAGUUGAUACUCAACGCAGCUGAAGGUUUUGAUCAGAGAUCCGAUGCCCGGCUGCCUGGUUUGUGGUGGAAGUACAAAUAACCUGCAGGAAAAACGGAGCCGCAGCUGUCCUCGAUAUUCUGCCGAUGGAGGGAAACACCAGGGUAAGAGCAGACCCCUCUGUUGCUGUCCCUGUACCGACUCCCUCAGGGCUGUUUUGACUUGAUUCUAUCAACUUGAUUUGAUCUUUUUCAAUUAUAUGUUGGUAGUUGUAAAACGCAUGAACUAUUUUGUUUGCAAUUUUGUGUGUCAUGUAUCCUUUUGUGUUUAGUCUUAAUGCUGUAGGUAGUUACAUUUGACAAUAUUAAUGAAUAUUACGAUAAAGCUGAAUUGGGUCCAUAUUACAAUUUAUUGUAAAAAAUAAAAGUGAAUUCCAUUGUAGUUUUAAAGUAGCCGUAGGUCAUUUCAGUAAAAUGAAUUCCCGUCCCUGAGUUCUUCUUCCUCCUCAAAAGAAAUUCACUUUGGGCAAACCUAAAGUGAAAUGGAAGUUUGGAGCUUCUUCAGCUUCUGAAAGGGAAUAGUCGUUGAGUGUACAAGAAGGAUUUAAAUCACAUUUUUUUGCAUUCGAUUGGACCUCUGAAAGGUGGGCUGCCGUUUAGCGUGAUAUGGACCUGCAGGGGUCUUCUGUUUCCACACACACCUCCCUCACUCGUUAGAUGCUGCAGGAGGACGAGGGACAGACGAGAGGGAAAUAUGUCCCGUUUUCAACCAGCCGCAAAUGCCCGACCGCCCCGUUCAGCCUCCAGCAAAGCCCCGACGGUGCGGAGGUCUGUCCCCUCCUCCAGGGAGUGUUCACCUCCUGCCCAAAAGAUGAAUGAAUUGAAAUAUCUUACUAAAUUGAAAGGUGCAACAUUAGUUAGUGUACAUGUGUGUGGGAUUCACCUCUUUGUUUGAAACAGUCCUGUAAGUCCAAAAUGUCUUAUCAUUUUUCUUUUGGACAGUUUACCUGAUUAUUUCUCAUUAAUUUAUUUUUUCUCAAAGCAAUUAAAUUAACCAGAUUCCUUCAAAACGUAACAAAAACGGUUAUAAAUGUCAAUGACAAAGACAUUGACAUUUUCCAGAGCUAUAGCACUGUGGAAAGCACUUAAACGUAUCACACCUACAUUGCAUUAUGAUCAGUUGGAACAUCUAAAGAGAUUUGCUUUUAUUUGCAGACUUUAAAAAAUUCAUCACGUGAAUGAUUGGGGCUGUUGAGUGUGUUUGUCCUGAUGUUUGCCACGUGGAAGUUGAUCAGCUUGAAUCUGCAGAGCAGUGAUCAUGCAGUCGUGGAGAGACAUUGUGCAUGACAGAUACUACAAUAUAAACUUAAUCACAUAAGUUGUCACAUUUGACAUUAACAUGUCACAUUUGACAUGUUUGAUAUCAUUUCAAUUUGAUUUCAUUAACAACUUUUUUUUUUGAAAAGUAAACUAACAUAACCUUUAUUUGCCUUUUAAAUUUGUUUUACUCUACAUGCCAAUGCUUUAUGAUUUUAUUUAGCCAAACCUUUGUCGGAAAGGAUCAGCUCAUGGUGCAAAACUAUAUUGCAUCAUAACUUAACAAUACCUUUGAUAGUUGUAUUCAAGUCACCAUUUAAAAUCUGUACAGUAUGAUCAGGUUCUUUGAAUUUAAAAAUGCAUCAGUAUAAAUAUGCAAGUCUCCUAAUGUCGUUGAUAAACGUAAGUAACUGCUAUGCCUGUGCACUGCACCCUGUAAAGUGUUUGUGUGGCCCAUUUUCAGUUUGUUGCUGACCUGGAGAUCUCAACACACGUGAACACAUUUGUGUCCAGUCUGUCUCUAAAAUGAUUGUGUGUUAUCCCAGAUUUGUGAACUCUUUAUUCUCUCAGGCAUCAGUAAGUACCACAUAGGCACUUACUGAUACAUUUAUUGCAAAUGUCUCCACCUUAACAUCCCCAUGACAUUAAAGUAAAACCAUUGCAUUCAUUUUUAUCUCUGAAACUGAAGAACUGUCUCAAAUCCAAAAGUCAUACUUAGAACAAGAGGUUCAAAACGACGUGUUGGCUGUUUGUGGCAUCUUAUCCGUGUCCCUCAGCAGCUCCCGACUUUCUAUUUGCCUCAAUAAUAGCAAACAUCCUCCCAUACCUUGUCUGUUCUUCCUCAGAUGUUAAUUUGUCCACAUCCCUACAGAACUGUGUGACUGUAGCGUGUGUACAAAGUGUGUGUAGAUGGUAUGUAGUGCUGUGAUAAAGCAUUUUAGACGCGACAAAAUGUAUUGUUUGUAGUUUUAAAUUAACUCUUGUAUUAAAUAUGAUUAACUUUAUUUCAAACCUAGUAAAAAAGAAAAAAAAACUGAUGAAUAUAUGUGACAUUAUCUGGUUCUAUCCCUUAAUAUGAAUAUAUAAUAUGUUAUUUAACAAACCCACCACCCUAGCAUUGACUAUUGGCUAUUUUUUUAAACUGUUGUGGCUUUUUUUUGUCAUAAGCGUGAUACCUCCGACCACUAAUUCAGAUAUGGGGAAUUAUGAUCCAGAGUGUUUCCUUUUUUUUGUCAAGAUGUGCAGCAAUCCUUGCCAACCUAAUUCACCGUGUGGGCUGCACAGUAUUCUAGUGGCUUGUACGCUCACCUCUCAGCAAGACGGGCCCGGGCCCCUUUUGCUUGUUCCCCCUCGGUCAGCGCGGGGGGGUCCUCUGGGUGUUUCAGCCCUUUGCCUGUUAGGAGCUUUUGGAUCGUGCCCCCCCCCCUGCAGGAAGGGGAAGGAUAUGGAGGGUGGUUUGGAUAAUGGAUUCAUCUUACAGUGUUGCAUUUACAGGACAAACAACUACCAGUCAAAACCUGUUUGCCAUGAACAAAACUGAGUGGGAUUUCUGAAGAUUUGCUCCUUGCAUUUCAUUUGCCCAGUGUGCUGCCAGUCUGCGGCCUCAUUUUGUGUGUAUUUUACAUUGCUGUUGUUGUUUUCUGGACCCUUCUAAAAAAAAAACAGGGUAAACUGUUGUGAAAUGUUGUGUCCAAAGAUUGUUUCCCCUUAAUGUGCAUCAUUAUGCUGCUUCAUGCACUGGAGUCACAAAAUGUGCCUUCUGACAGUUCACUGCUGCACGAAAGCGUUCGUGUUCGUCUUACUUGAACCUUACCAAGGAUGCCGUUUGUGUUUCUUUUGUCUUCCAGAUGCCACCAGUUCAGCGAGCGGCACCCAUUGGAAGUCCACCUGCUUUUCCUGGCCCCAUCCUGCUGUCGCCGACGUCUAUGCCUCCAAGAGGAGCUGCUUUCAUCUCCACCGAGUUUGACCCGACCAAGUUGGCACCGAGUAGUGUAAAACACCCGGAGGACUCCAUCCAGGACUCUAUAGGAGACACAGGCAUGCCUUUGGAUAUGUGCGCCGACCACCAGCUGGGUUCUCCCACAGCACCGGUGAUGACCCUGCCGGGCACGGGAGUCAUGCAGGGUUCCAGACUGGGCAUGCCCCCUCUGCAGCCUCCCCCCAACAUGCCGAAUCCUCAUCUACCUCCUUUCCUCUCGCCUCCAAACAUGUCGCACAAUCACCCGCAAAUGAUGCCCGGACGGCCCGUGUUUUCUCCGGAGAGGUUCAGGAUGCCCAUGCCCUUUCCGCCUCGCGGCCCUCCUUUCCAUCGGCAUCUCUCCAUGGGACCAGACGGCAUGCACGACAGGGAAGGGAUGCAUUUCAGAAACGGGAGAGCAGGGUUUGGGUGCCCGCCCUUCCAGAGAGGGAGGUGGUAGAAGCAGGCAGAAUGACAGACCUGAGGGGAGAGGCGUCGGGAUCACUGUGACGGAUCAGUAUCACGACAUCUGGUUCAACAAGGAACUGCUGUAAAUAAUUGAGGGUGCUUAGACUUCUUUUAGUACCGCACCCUUUUCUUACCGUCACAUGAACAAUCACACAGACAGUGUUCUGAAUGUGAUCCACGCACCUCCAAGUUCACCAGAGGAGAGACCUUUUGUUGUAAAUACUGUACAUGCUCGUAGCUGUUUGCUAUCUUUUUGUAUAUUUGAAGUGUGUAGUUCAUGCUGAAGUCUAAUCUUAGUAGUUGGAGGGGAAAAAACAAAGGCAACGUCUGUAUUUUUGAGCGUAUUCCCUUUACCAUAGUUUUUGUCUAAGGAAGGAGACUGAAAAUCUAUAAUUCAAUCACCGUUUUGGUAUUUAGUUUUUAGCGAAAUGGCUUUUGUAACACACUAAUGUUUAAUUCCUGAGUUAAGAAGUUUGAUUUCAUUUGAAGUGGAAGAUUCAUGUCCUGCCAGCAGAGGGUAGUGUAAACCCUGUUACCGCGGCCAACCCCUGUUGUACAUUAAGGUCACACCUUGUAACUCGCAUUGAAAAUUAAAAAAAGGUUUCAAUUUGA
Gasterosteus aculeatus aculeatus (three-spined stickleback) is the source of this 4414-nucleotide long non-coding RNA. Lineage: Eukaryota; Metazoa; Chordata; Actinopteri; Perciformes; Gasterosteidae. The record is from Ensembl.